CGCGUAGGUGGCUUUGUAAGUCAGAGGUGAAAUCCCGGGGCUCAACCCCGGAACUGCCUUUGAAACUACAUCGCUAGAGUCUUGGAGAGGUUAGUGGAAUUCCGAGUGUAGAGGUGAAAUUCGUAGAUAUUCGGAAGAACACCAGUGGCGAAGGCGACUAACUGGACAAGUACUGACACUGAGGUGCGAAAGCGUGGGGAGCAAACA
Molecule: ribosomal RNA, 207 nt
Filed under: uncultured bacterium
Lineage: Bacteria
Description: partial 16S ribosomal RNA
Rfam family: Bacterial small subunit ribosomal RNA
Source: RNAcentral